GAAGCCAGGCCAAGAAGAAUCCCAGGACUGGAAGGCCUUGUGGGACGUCCCAGGUUUGUCUUGUGUCAAUAGCACUGAUACUCAAUCUCCUACUCCCAUCUGUGAGCAUGCAGACCCUACUUGCCUUCCCACAGCCUCCCUUUUCAUAUUUUUCAUGUUUCUUUAGCUCUGUCUUCAAGCCUUGUUGCUCCCGCAAAAAAACCUGCCUCUUCCUCCAGUCCUCCCAAGCAGGGGGAACAGUCCUGACACCUUUCCAAGCCCUGGUCCAUGGACAUUGUGCCCCCUUCUCCCUGCCCAUGGUGACCUGCUCCAAAACCCUCAAGGAGAAGGGAGUGUAUGUCAUUUCCUCCCUGUAAAGUAAAGAUAAUUUUGCAGGGGACUGUGUGGAUGAAAUGACAUGAUGCAUGGAAAUCCCUUAGCGUGUGCCUGGCAUGUAAACUGCAGGUGUCAUCAUUAUUACUGAGGAAUACUGAGUCCCGAACAUGGCUGUCUCAUUGGUGGACUGGGGUCUCCCCCAGGGCAUUCAUCUACUAUGUGUUUAUUGCACCCUUUUUCCAUGUGAGGCACAUGCCAGGGACUGGGCACAUGGUAUGAACAAGACACAGGUCAUCGGUGUCCUCUUGAGCUCCCUGGCUUGGCAGCAGAUGCAUACCUGGGAAGGAUGCUAGGUCAUCCGGGAACUCUACCUCCUUCAAAUCCCUAAGGACUGUGCUCCCAAUCCGCUUACGCUCAAGGAAGAACUGCCUGGAAGCCCUCCCUGGUACCAUACCCCAGCCGAUGAGUAUGUACCCCCAGAAGUACUUCCGCUCAGAGAAGAAGGAGACGGCAAGCAGGGUGUACAGGAAGGCCCAGAACCAGCCUGCUGUCAGGAUCAGAACAAAAGAGGAGGACUGCAUAUGUAUGGACCCACUCCAGAUGGCACGGGGACGGGGGGAGUAGGAAAAGUGGCAUGAUGAGGAAAUGGAGGCACAGACUGAUUAGAAAACCAGCUCAAGGUCAUGUUGCUGGGUUACUCAGGCUGAAAUGCUCAAGACACUCUGUCUCAAGGGAUUUGUGGCUGUUUCAUCCUCAAGUAUAGGGGGAAUAGUGGCCAGGAAGAUCUCAGAGGUGGCUUCUGGAAGAGGAAUCUGGGUACUGGCUACCCUGCCUUGUGUCCCAUCAUUGGUCUGUCUUGCCUGUCUUGGAGCACAUUUCUCACCAAGAAAUACUUCUAAGGGGCCAGGCGUGGUGACUCAUGCUUGUAAUUCCAAGCACUUUGGGAGGCUGAGGCAGGUGGAUCACCUGAAGCCAGGAGUUCAAGAGCAGCCUGGCCAACAUGGCGAAACCCUGUCUCUACUAAAAAUACAAAAUUUAGCCAGGCAUGGUGGCGGGAGCCUGUAAUCUCAGCUCCUAGGGAGGCUGAGCCAGAAGAAUCGCUUAAACCUGGAAGCUGGAGGUUGCAGUGAGCCAAGAUCACACCACCACACUCCAGCCUGGGUGACAGAGCAAGACUCCAUCUCAAAAAGAAAAAAAAGAAAAAAAGGAAAUACUUCUAAGUUAUGUGAGAGAGUACAUACUGACAUUUUCAAUGGGUACAAUAA
RNAcentral lists this long non-coding RNA (1580 nucleotides) under Homo sapiens (human). RNAcentral's name for it is "PREDICTED lncRNA (TCONS_00191756)". The record is from RNAcentral. Lineage: Eukaryota; Metazoa; Chordata; Mammalia; Primates; Hominidae.